GCCUAUUGCGGCCGCUUAUAAUGCAGUCGAGCGAGAGACGUAGCAAUACGUUUGUAAAGCGGCGAACGGGUGAGGAAUGCAUGGGUAACCUACCCUCGAGUGGGGAAUAACUAGCCGAAAGGUUAGCUAAUACCGCAUACGAUUCCCGGACUUCGGUUCGGGAGGGAAAGCGAUACCGUGGGUAUCGCGCUCUUGGAUGGGCUCAUGUCCUAUCAGCUUGUUGGUGAGGUAAUGGCUCACCAAGGCUUCGACGGGUAGCUGGUCUGAGAGGACGAUCAGCCACACUGGCACUGCGACACGGGCCAGACUCCUACGGGAGGCAGCAGUAAGGAAUAUUGCGCAAUGGACGAAAGUCUGACGCAGCGACGCCGCGUGGGGGAUGAAGGUCUUCGGAUUGUAAACCCCUUUCGGCAGGGAAGAUGGAACGGGUAACCGUUCGGACGGUACCUGCAGAAGCAGCCACGGCUAACUUCGUGCCAGCAGCCGCGGUAAUACGAAGGUGGCAAGCGUUGUUCGGAUUCACUGGGCGUACAGGGAGCGUAGGCGGUUGAGUAAGCCCUCCGUGAAAUCUCCGGGCCUAACCCGGAAAGUGCAGAGGGGACUGCUCGGCUAGAGGAUGGGAGAGGAGCGCGGAAUUCCCGGUGUAGCGGUGAAAUGCGUAGAGAUCGGGAGGAAGGCCGGUGGCGAAGGCGGCGCUCUGGAACAUUUCUGACGCUGAGGCUCGAAAGCGUGGGGAGCAAACAGGAUUAGAUACCCUGGUAGUCCACGCCUUAAACUAUGGAUACUAAGUGUCGGCGGUUUACCGCCGGUGCCGCAGCUAACGCAUUAAGUAUCCCGCCUGGGAAGUACGGCCGCAAGGUUGAAACUCAAAGGAAUUGACGG
Molecule: ribosomal RNA, 882 nt
Filed under: uncultured Nitrospira sp.
Lineage: Bacteria; Pseudomonadati; Nitrospirota; Nitrospiria; Nitrospirales; Nitrospiraceae
Description: bacterial SSU rRNA
Rfam family: Bacterial small subunit ribosomal RNA
Source: RNAcentral